This 351-nucleotide long non-coding RNA is filed under the name Sus scrofa (pig). RNAcentral describes it as "lncRNA (ENSSSCG00070018033.1)". The record is from RNAcentral. Lineage: Eukaryota; Metazoa; Chordata; Mammalia; Artiodactyla; Suidae.
CCCUGCCAAAGUCUCAGAGCCAAGGUCAUGCCGCCCUGCCACCUGGCCAUCCCUGCUGUGUCCACAGAGUGCACAACAGGGCCAUAGGGCACGGCCUUCCCCACUUGGCCCAGGGACCCACCUCAGGACGAGGGGAGGCCAUGAGGGGCCCGGGGUCCCAGAGAGUUGGAAGUUGCAAGCUCCUCGUGGCUCAGCCUGCAGGCUGGGGAGCCUAGGGAGCAGCUCCUGCAGGUCCUGAAGGCUCAGCUCCUUGGAAGCACACAGUGAACGUGGACGCGAACCUGAUGUCCUUUAGGAAACACCCCACCCCCAUCCCCACCUCAUCGCCCAAGAUGCUGUCACUUCAGUAGC